GUCUCGGUGCUCCUUCCAGGAGGGUCACACCUGUUCCCAUCCCGACCACAGCAGUUAAGCCUCCUUGGGCCGAUGGUAGUGCGAUUGCGCGAGAGUAGGUAGGCGCCGGGACA
RNAcentral lists this ribosomal RNA (113 nucleotides) under Candidatus Uhrbacteria bacterium GW2011_GWF2_40_263. The record is from RNAcentral. Lineage: Bacteria; Candidatus Uhriibacteriota.